This 281-nucleotide ribosomal RNA is filed under the name uncultured prokaryote. RNAcentral describes it as "partial 16S ribosomal RNA". It matches the Rfam family "Bacterial small subunit ribosomal RNA", at positions 524 to 803 of the family's 1533-position model. The record is from RNAcentral.
UACGUAGGGGGCAAGCGUUGUCCGGAAUUAUUGGGCGUAAAGCGCGCGCAGGCGGUUAUUUAAGUCUGGUGUUUAAACCUUGGGCUCAACCUGGGGUCGCACUGGAAACUGGGUAACUUGAGUACAGAAGAGGAAAGUGGAAUUCCACGUGUAGCGGUGAAAUGCGUAGAGAUGUGGAGGAACACCAGUGGCGAAGGCGACUUUCUGGGCUGUAACUGACGCUGAGGCGCGAAAGCGUGGGGAGCAAACAGGAUUAGAUACCCCUGUAGUCCCUGAGCGGG